GUGGGGAAUCUUGCGCAAUGGGCGAAAGCCUGACGCAGCCAUGCCGCGUGAAUGAUGAAGGUCUUAGGAUUGUAAAAUUCUUUCACCGGGGACGAUAAUGACGGUACCCGGAGAAGAAGCUCCGGCUAACUUCGUGCCAGCAGCCGCGGUAAUACGAAGGGGGCUAGCGUUGCUCGGAAUUACUGGGCGUAAAGGGCGCGUAGGCGGAUCGUUAAGUCAGGGGUGAAAUCCCAGAGCUCAACUCUGGAACUGCCCUUGAUACUGGCGAUCUUGAGUGUGAGAGAGGUAUGUGGAACUCCGAGUGUAGAGGUGAAAUUCGUAGAUAUUCGGAAGAACACCAGUGGCGAAGGCGACAUACUGGCUCAUUACUGACGCUGAGGCGCGAAAGCGUGGGGAGCAAACAGGAUUAGAAACCCUUGUAGUCC
RNAcentral lists this ribosomal RNA (425 nucleotides) under uncultured bacterium. Its description in RNAcentral is "partial 16S ribosomal RNA". It matches the Rfam family "Bacterial small subunit ribosomal RNA", at positions 354 to 796 of the family's 1533-position model. The record is from RNAcentral.